Molecule: ribosomal RNA, 336 nt
Filed under: Methylobacterium sp. ED329
Lineage: Bacteria; Pseudomonadati; Pseudomonadota; Alphaproteobacteria; Hyphomicrobiales; Methylobacteriaceae
Description: bacterial SSU rRNA
Rfam family: Bacterial small subunit ribosomal RNA
Source: RNAcentral
CCUUUGGGGGUCAGCGGCGGACGGGUGAGUAACGCGUGGGAACGUGCCCUCUGGUUCGGAAUAACUCAGGGAAACUUGAGCUAAUACCGGAUACGCCCUUUUGGGGAAAGGCUUGCUGCCGGAGGAUCGGCCCGCGUCUGAUUAGCUAGUUGGUGAGGUAACGGCUCACCAAGGCGACGAUCAGUAGCUGGUCUGAGAGGAUGAUCAGCCACACUGGGACUGAGACACGGCCCAGACUCCUACGGGAGGCAGCAGUGGGGAAUAUUGGACAAUGGGCGCAAGCCUGAUCCAGCCAUGCCGCGUGAGUGAUGAAGGCCUUAGGGUUGUAAAGCUUUU